Long non-coding RNA from Bombus huntii, 2421 nucleotides. RefSeq lists it as uncharacterized. The transcript has 4 exons. Lineage: Eukaryota; Metazoa; Arthropoda; Insecta; Hymenoptera; Apidae. The record is from RefSeq and is a predicted model, not a curated record.
GUAUGUCGGGUUUACAUUAGAAUUAGGGUUAGGGGCGUGAAACGAAUCUUCGUUUGGGUUACACGUUGUCGUUAUGCAAUAGAGAAGACAUUGACUAGUGCAAAUACGAUUAUUAUAGAACCGGACGAGUAACCGUGGUAGUUAGGUACUCGAGAAACUAAUGACAAUGAUCCUAGGUUCAAUAACGAAUCCGCGGUCGACGGGAUGAUAGAUGAACGCACUCACAAAAUCUAAGUCGGAUGCGUAAUAUUCACUGGUCGUAAAGGGUUACUCCUUUCAUCAGUGAGAUCGCGAGCGAGAAUGUCUUUCCCGUCCCGAUGAUGCCACAGAGGAAAACUAUAAUGGGGUGUGUCUAAGGACACGAGAUCAUCGGAUUCGUCGAGAAAAGCCUUCGUUCAGAAAGUAAGGGAAAUUGGCGUUGCUGCUAAUUGGUCAAUCUCCUUAUCGGUGGUUAGAAAAAGAUGCUAGCAGCCCUCGAGGGAAAGUUGCUAGUGGGAGACGCCGCUCGUUGAAAAAUAGGUCUCCCCUAUUUUCCCGUAAUUGGGACAAAGACUGUUUGUCUGUUUGAAGGACUUUAGUUGACUAAAUCUUAAGAUUUAUAACGGGCCCUCGGGCUAGCCGAACACGUACUGCGGAGACGCGUCGGCAUCUGGUAAACAUCCUGCCCGGAGAAUAGGAUCUGCGUGUGGCGAGCUACGGGACAGAAACCGUUGGAAUGUUUACUGCCACGUGUUGCUACAAAUCUUUCUUUUAAGGAGAGCUAUAGGAUUAUUCAAUGCCUUUUGUUAGAUGGAGAGUUCGUCCCGUUGACCGCGGCUACGUUCGGCGACUAAUUGUCGCCCUGAGCCCAAGCUCAUUGUCACAAGUCUCAAACAAAUACAAUUGGGUAGAAUGACGGCAAAUCGUUUAAUUACAACUGUAGGUUUUAAUUACAAUGUUUUUAUGGAUUUUCCCGAGGUUUCAGAGGGAAGGCACCGGUGUCUUCUUAUCUCCGAUAUAUAUAUGUCGGAGAUGGAAGGACAGCGGGACUUUCCGUCGGGAAUGCUGGGAAAAACCUUCCAUCACCAUAGUCAAGAUUUUAAUGUUUAAGCCAUAAAAAUAAGGAAAACAACUUUUAAUGUUCCAACCUGGCGUUACGACGAUGGGUUCAGGUUUAAGGUGACAUAACGGGUCACCAGACGUAGCCGCGGUCACGGGAGGGCCGCGUACCUGACAGAGGUACGGAAUGAUUUUAUGACUCUCCUUAAAAACAAGGAUUGACCCGAGAAGCGGGGACAGGAGUAUAUAAGGGUAGGUUCAUCUGGAUUCAGGGAGUUUUUAGUUAGUCGUUGAGCGAGUUGCCGAGUAAGUCACGCUGAUACUGGUCAUCCCGUGGAUCAUGGAUUCGUUAUCGAACUUGGAUUCGUUGUCACCAUCAUCUCGGACAUCCUAUUGCCGUUACUCAUAGUCUCUUGUAGUGCCCACAUUCGCACUGAUAAACACUAACCACAUCCGCGACGGUAAAGUAAGUAAAGGUUCAUAGAACGCCCCAAAGUGCCAACCUGACUCCGACAUAUAUAUAUAUAAUAUAUAACGUAAUACUAUAUAACGUAAUAGAUCAUAACGCAAUAUAAUGUAACAUACAUAAUAUAAUAUAACGUAAUAAAAUACCACGAAAUAUAGUAUAACGUGACAUAAUAUAACGUACCCUAAUAUAGUGGAGUAUAAUAUAAUGUAAAAUAAUAUAACGUAAUACAAUACCACGUGAUAUAAUAUAACGUAUUGUGAUAUAAUAUAAGCUCCGCUAUCAGCCAAUUCCCUAUGGCCAUGGUCUAGAAGACAAUGUGGCGUCGAGUGAUGGGACAUUGUAUGUGCCGUGUCUUAUAAUUUUAAAAAGCCCGUAAAUCCUGUUUUCAGAUUGCCGCGUCACAGGAUACGCGGAGGGGAGGCUUCCAAGAUCUUCUGCAUACUAGCAUUCCUUCCACCAUUGUGGGGCAAUAUAUUAGCGUUUCCUACCAGAAUGAGACGUGUUUGUGACGAUGGUUUACGUCUUCAAAUCUUCAAAUGACUAAUCUUCUUCUCUACGACUUGCACGAGGUAAGCUGCUGCCCGUGUAACGUUCGAUUUGAGGAUCCCUGUGCAUGCUGCUGCUUAAGCUGACCUAUUUUCGUUCGUGUAAGAAGGAUCAGUCGCGCACAGGGAUAUUUCGGCUAAUAUUUAAUUGUCAAUAACUAAAAAACGACGCCAAAAGCGCAAUUUCUUCAUUCUUGAUUUUCAUUGUAUUUUAGCUCGAUGGAUCACCUCUUCAAUUUUUUUUACACCUGUAGCCGAAUGUGUAGCCCUCGAUGGGCAAAUACGUCGUCGGUCGUCUUGGAAUAAUCGUAGAAACUGAUGGAUGCAAAAUUGAACGAAUUUGCGGGAAGGAUCAUGAAUUCUUGAUGU